UACAGAGACUGCAAGCGUUAUUCGGAUUCACUGGGCGUAAAGGGUGCGCAGGUGGCCAAGUGUGUUAGGCGUGAAAGCCCGGGGCUUAACCCCGGAAUUGCACCUAAAACUACAUGGCUAGAGCAUUGGAGAGGGGAGCAGAAUUCACGGUGUAGCAGUGAAAUGCGUAGAUAUCGUGAGGAAUACCAGAGGCGAAGGCGGCUCCCUGGACAAUUGCUGACACUCAGGCACGAAAGCGUGGGGAGCAAACAGG
RNAcentral lists this ribosomal RNA (253 nucleotides) under uncultured bacterium. RNAcentral describes it as "partial 16S ribosomal RNA". It matches the Rfam family "Bacterial small subunit ribosomal RNA", at positions 524 to 776 of the family's 1533-position model. The record is from RNAcentral.